AUUGAACGCUGGCGGCAUGCCUUACACAUGCAAGUCGAACGGUAACAGGUCUUCGGAUGCUGACGAGUGGCGAACGGGUGAGCAAUACAUCGGAACGUGCCCGACCGUGGGGGAUAACGGAGCGAAAGCUUUGCUAAUACCGCAUACGAUCUACGGAUGAAAGCAGGGGACCGCAAGGCCUUGCGCGGACGGAGCGGCCGAUGGCAGAUUAGGUAGUUGGUGGGAUAAAAGCUUACCAAGCCGACGAUCUGUAGCUGGUCUGAGAGGACGACCAGCCACACUGGGACUGAGACACGGCCCAGACUCCUACGGGAGGCAGCAGUGGGGAAUUUUGGACAAUGGGCGAAAGCCUGAUCCAGCCAUGCCGCGUGCAGGAUGAAGGCCUUCGGGUUGUAAACUGCUUUUGUACGGAACGAAAAGACUCCUUCUAAUAAAGGGGGUCCAUGA
This 447-nucleotide ribosomal RNA is filed under the name uncultured bacterium. RNAcentral's name for it is "bacterial SSU rRNA". It matches the Rfam family "Bacterial small subunit ribosomal RNA", at positions 30 to 472 of the family's 1533-position model. The record is from RNAcentral.